GUUUGAUCCUGGCUCGGAUGAACGCUAGCGGCAGGCCUAACACAUGCAAGUCGAGGGGUAUAGAGAGCUUGCUUUCUAGAGACCGGCGGAUGGGUGAGUAACGCGUAUGCAACCUACCUUUUACAGGGGAAUAGCCCGGAGAAAUUCGGAUUAAUGCUCCAUGGUUUAUAUGAGUGGCAUCAUUUAUAUAAUAAAGAUUUAUCGGUAAAAGAUGGGCAUGCGUAUCAUUAGCUAGUUGGUGUGGUAACGGCAUACCAAGGCGACGAUGAUUAGGGGUCCUGAGAGGGAGAUCCCCCACACUGGUACUGAGACACGGACCAGACUCCUACGGGAGGCAGCAGUGAGGAAUAUUGGUCAAUGGAGGCAACUCUGAACCAGCCAUGCCGCGUGCAGGAUGACGGUCCUAUGGAUUGUAAACUGCUUUUGUACGGGAAGAAAUGUAAUUACGUGUAAUUAUUUGACGGUACCGUAAGAAUAAGGAUCGGCUAACUCCGUGCCAGCAGCCGCGGUAGUACGGAGGAUCCGAGCGUUAUCCGGAAUUAUUGGGUUUAAAGGGUUCGUAGGCGGUUUAGUAAGUCAGUGGUGAAACCUUAUAGCUUAACUAUAAAAUUGCCGUUGAUACUGCUAAACUUGAAUAGUAUGGAAGUAAUUAGAAUAUGUAGUGUAGCGGUGAAAUGCUUAGAUAUUACAUGGAAUACCAAUUGCGAAGGCAGAUUACUACGUACUUAUUGACGCUGAUGAACGAAAGCGUGGGUAGCGAACAGGAUUAGAUACCCUGGUAGUCCACGCCGUANACGAUGGAUACUAGCUGUUCGGUUUUCGGACUGAGUGGCUAAGCGAAAGUGAUAAGUAUCCCACCUGGGGAGUACGUUCGCAAGAAUGAAACUCAAAGGAAUUG
Molecule: ribosomal RNA, 898 nt
Filed under: uncultured bacterium
Lineage: Bacteria
Description: bacterial SSU rRNA
Rfam family: Bacterial small subunit ribosomal RNA
Source: RNAcentral